AAAAGAACUCUGAAUAGAGAGUUAAAUAGUACGUGAAACUGCUUAGAGGUUAAACCCGAUGAACCUGAAUAUCCAAUAUAAAGAAUUCAUCAUUAAUAUAUUAAUUAUAAUUAAUAUAAUGGUGUGCAUUUUCUUUAUAUAAUGGACAUUGUAAUCUAUUAAUAUAAAUAUAUUUAUCAUAAGAUCAUAAGCAUAUGUUUAUUUUAAUUAAAUUGUUUCGGCUUUAUAAUAUAAAAUAAUUGCUAAUGAUUUGAUAAAGUGUUGAUAGAUUUAAUCAUAUGUAUAAUGCAUAAAUUCAUUUGAAUUUUAUAAUAUAGCAAUAUAUUAUAAGCAUUUAUACGAUUUACAAUGCGAAAGAUUCAGGAUACCUUCGGGAC
Molecule: ribosomal RNA, 377 nt
Filed under: Liriomyza sp. 8 YXL-2023a
Lineage: Eukaryota; Metazoa; Arthropoda; Insecta; Diptera; Agromyzidae
Description: partial large subunit ribosomal RNA
Source: RNAcentral